This is a long non-coding RNA of Macaca mulatta (Rhesus monkey), 2904 nucleotides long. The record is from Ensembl. NCBI's taxonomy places the organism in Eukaryota, Metazoa, Chordata, Mammalia, Primates, Cercopithecidae.
AUGAGCACUUUUUCUGCCAGAUCUGACAUGGGUGUCUUUCAAGGAAUUUUUCUAUGUCAUCUAAGUUGGAAAAUUUGUGGUCAUAAAGCUGUUAAUAAACCUGACACGUUCACCCUCUCAGUGUCGGUGGGAGGUGAGAUGGCGCCUCCUCUAUUUCCUGACACAUUCACUGUCUCAGUGUCUAUGGGAGGUGAGAUGGCGCCUCCUCUCGUUCCUGACACGUUCACUCUCUCAGUGUCUGUGGGAGGUGAGAUGGCGCCUCCUCUCCUUGCUGCAACAUUCACUGUCUCAGCGUUUGUGGGAGGUGAGAUGGCGCCUCCUCUCGUUCCUGAAAUGUUCACUGUCUCAGCGUUUGUGGGAGGUGAGAUGGCACCUCCUCUCCUUCCUGAAACGUUCACUCUCUCGGUGUCAGUGGGAGGUGAGAUGGUGCCUCCUCUCCUUCAUGAAACGUUCACUGUCUCAGCGUUUGUGGGAGGUGAGAUGGCACCUCCUCUCGUUCCUGACACGUUCACUCUCUCGGUGUCUGUGGGAGGUGAGAUGGCACCUCCUCUUCUUCCUGACACGUUCACUCUCUCAGUGUCUGUGGGAGGUGAGAUGGCACCUCCUCUUCUUCCUGACACGUUCACUCUCUCGGUGUCUGUGGGAGGUGAGAUGGCACCUCCUCUCGUUCCUGACACGUUCACUCUCUCGGUGUCUGUGGGAGGUGAGAUGGCGCCUCCUCUUCUUCCUGACACGUUCACUCUCUCGGUGUCUGUGGGAGGUGAGAUGGCGCCUCCUCUCGUUCCUGACACGUUCACUCUCUCGGUGUCUGUGGGAGGUGAGAUGGCGCCUCCUCUCGUUCCUGACACGUUCACUCUCUCGGUGUCUGUGGGAGGUGAGAUGGCGCCUCCCCUCGUUCCUGACACGUUCACUCUCUCGGUGUCUGUGGGAGGUGAGAUGGCGCCUCCUCUCCUUCCUGAAACGUUCACUCUCUCGGUGUCUGUGGGAGGUGAGAUGGCGCCUCCUCUUCUUCCUGACACGUUCACCCUCUCGGUGUCUGUGGGAGGUGAGAUGGCGCCUCCUCUCGUUCCUGACACGUUCACUCUCUCAGUGUCUGUGGGAGGUGAGAUGGCGCCUCCUCUUCUUCCUGACACGUUCACUCUCUCGGUGUCUGUGGGAGGUGAGAUGGCUCCUCCUCUCCUUCCUGACACGUUCACUCUCUCAGUGUCUGUGGGAGGUGAGAUGGCGCCUCCUCUCGUUCCUUAAACGUCCACUCUCUCGGUCUCUGUUGGAGGUGAGAUGGCGCCUCCUCUCCUUCCUGACACGUUCACUCUCUCAGUGUCUGUGGGAGGUGAGAUGGCGCCUCCUCUGCUUCCUGCCAGUGCUGAUUUCUGGUUUCCUUUCUUCGUUUCCUUUGAUUCGUCCAAGUGGAAAUCUGUGGGUUCUAUGGAUCUUUCCAAAUUAGCCGCUCUUGCUUUCCUUGAUUUUCUCUGUUGUUUGUCUGCUUUCUACUUCAUUUCUGUCUACUGGUGUCUUCGUUAUUUUUUCUUCCUCGUUUAUGUUUAAUUUUCUUUCUUUAGUCCUUGGUGAGGUCGCGAGCUCUGUCCUAAAGGGGCCUGGGUUCCCUCUACGGGCAGGUUUGUUGGGGAACCCAGGGCUCCGGGUCCCAGCCCAGACUGUGCUGGGGACUGAGGGGAGGAGUAAACCAAGGGCUUGGUGGCUUCUGUCCUUACCCAGACCUUGGUGCCCCGGGCCCUGGGUGGCUGAGUGCCCCCUCCGCCCCAGGCAUCCCUACUGGCCCUCCUGGGACCAGGCAGCUGAGCGGGCUGGACCUGGAGCUGGCAGCAGCCACAGGGGGGCAGCACAUCCCCAGGAACAGUCAUAUGUGCGAGAGUGAAUGAGUGUCUGUGUGAGCAUGAGUGCAUGUGUGUGUGUGUGAGCAUGUAUGUGUGUAUGUGUGUAUAUAUGUGUGUGUGACCAUGCGUGUGUGUAUGUGUGUGCGAGCAUGGGUGCAUGUGUAUGUGCGUGUGUGAGCAUAUAUGUGUGUGCGAGCAUGCAUGUGUGUGUGAGCAUGCAUGCGUGUAUAUAUUUGUGACAGCAUGCAUGUGUGUGUGUAUGUGUGUGAGAGCAUGCAUGUGUGUGUAUAUUUGUGAGAGCAUGCAUGCAUGUGUAUAUUUGUGAGAGCAUGUAUGCAUGUGUGUGAGCAUGCAUGCGUGCGUGUGUGUGUGUGUGAGAGCAUGUGUGUGAGCAUGCAUGCAUGUGUAUGUGUGCAUGUGUGAGCAUGUGUUCGUGUGCAUGUGUGUGAGCAUGCGUGUGAACAUGGGUGCGUGUAUGUUUGCAUGUGUGAUCAUAUGUGCAUGUGUAUAUGUGUGAGCAUGCGGGAGUCUAGUGUGUGAGCAUGGGUGUGUGUGUGUGCGCUAGCAUGUGGGCAUCUGUGUGUGACCAUGCGUGCAUGUGUGUGUGCAAACAUGGAUACAUGUGUGCAAUCAUGUGCAUAUGUGUGUGUUAGAAUGUGUCCGUGUGUAUGUGCAUGUGUCUGCCCGUGUGUGCACGCUCAUAUAAGCAUGUGUACGCAUGUGAACCAAGCCUCCUCAAGGUACCUGGUCUAACAGGGCUUCUCUGUUUCUCCCCAUCUAGGGCUCCUCCCCUUCUCAGCCCCCUCCUCAUCUGAGCCCCCCAGGGCAUUGAGGGCUACAGCCCUCCCACACUCAGCCUCCACUUGGCCCGGUGGGUGGCAGCGGGUGUCUGGGGAAUGGCUGCAGGCCGCAGGCCAGUGUGGGUGGGAGGGAGACUCUUUGCUGUAAGAUGCUGGAGGCCGAUUCUCUCCAACUAGCCCCUCUCCAGUCUCUCCUCUUGCUCCGGGUCUUUAACCCCUUCCCCCACUCCCAGAGCCCAGGCUGAGCUCCAGGAGCCGGUGGGCGGAGG